This 744-nucleotide unclassified non-coding RNA is filed under the name Hevea brasiliensis (rubber tree). Lineage: Eukaryota; Viridiplantae; Streptophyta; Magnoliopsida; Malpighiales; Euphorbiaceae. The record is from RNAcentral.
UGCUUCCUUGUUUUGGCAAUUGCUGUUGUGAUGGAUCCGAGAUUUAAAAUGAAGCUUGUUGAAUUCAGUUUUUCUAGGAUAUUUGGAGAGGAUGCUGGUAUGUGGAUCAAGAUUGUUGAUGAUGGGAUUCAUGAACUCUUUCUUGAAUAUCUUGCACCAAAUCUUUCUCUAUCAACAACUUUUAUGGAAGCGGAGGAUAUGGGUAUCUCCCGAUCAGAGAUUCUUCAAGAAGCACCCAAUCAAGAAGUAGCACCCCAGGAAGCAUGUUUUGAAGAAGUACCCCUUCAAGUGGUGUACUCUGCAGAUGUGCCUUCUCUAGAACACUCUCAAGGAGCAGCCUUUAAAGAUGUAAAGCCUGAAGAAAUUACUCCCCAAGUGCACCCUAAAAAAGAAUCUCCACAAGAUGCAUCUCCUCAAGUGAUACACCAUCAUGAAGUAGCCCAACAAGAGAUGCACACUCAAGAAUUACCAAUGCAAGAGAUGCAGACUCAGGAACUACCUGUGCAGGAGAUGGACGCUCAAGAAAUGCCAGAGCAGGAUAUGCACACUCAAGAAGCACCAGUGCCAGAGAUGCAAACUCAGGAAGCACCAAUGCAUGAGAUGAAGACUAAGGAAACAACAGUGCAGGAGAUGGAGACUCAAGAAGCACCAGUGCAGCAGAUGCACACUCAAGAAGCACCAGUGCUGCAAGAAGUACCAUUGCAAGAUGCAGACACUCGAGAAGUACCUGCUCAAGAGAUGCAC